UGGCUCAGUUGGUAGAGCAUGGUGUUUGCAACGCCAGGGUUGUGGGUUCGAUUCCCAG
This 58-nucleotide transfer RNA is filed under the name Salmo salar (Atlantic salmon). It matches the Rfam family "tRNA", at positions 8 to 63 of the family's 71-position model. From Rfam's summary of the family: Transfer RNA (tRNA) molecules are approximately 80 nucleotides in length. Their secondary structure includes four short double-helical elements and three loops (D, anti-codon, and T loops). Further hydrogen bonds mediate the characteristic L-shaped molecular structure. tRNAs have two regions of fundamental functional importance: the anti-codon, which is responsible for specific mRNA codon recognition, and the 3' end, to which the tRNAs corresponding amino acid is attached (by aminoacyl-tRNA synthetases). tRNAs cope with the degeneracy of the genetic code in two manners: having more than one tRNA (with a specific anti-codon) for a particular amino acid; and 'wobble' base-pairing, i.e. permitting non-standard base-pairing at the 3rd anti-codon position. The record is from Rfam by way of RNAcentral. Lineage: Eukaryota; Metazoa; Chordata; Actinopteri; Salmoniformes; Salmonidae. RNAcentral also lists the same sequence under 1 other name.